Long non-coding RNA from Phyllostomus discolor (pale spear-nosed bat), 157 nucleotides. RefSeq lists it as uncharacterized. NCBI's taxonomy places the organism in Eukaryota, Metazoa, Chordata, Mammalia, Chiroptera, Phyllostomidae. The transcript is spliced from 3 exons. The record is from RefSeq and is a predicted model, not a curated record.
UAAAGCAGACCCUUUAGCAUCUCUUGCAGAGCUGGUUUGGGGGAGCUGUAUUCUUUCAGGCUUCUUUUGUCCAGCAAACUCUUUAUUUGGCCUUACAUUUUAAUUGAGAGCCUUGCUGGUUAGAAUAGUGUUGGUUGCAAGCCUCUGGUUCUCAUUA